AACGAACGCUGGCGGCAUGCCUAACAUAUGCAAGUCGAACGAGACCUUCGGGUCUAGUGGCGCACGGGUGCGUAACGCGUGGGAACCUGCCCUUAGGUUCGGAAUAACUCCCCGAAAGGGGUGCUAAUACCGGAUAAUGUCUUCGGACCAAAGAUUUAUCGCCUUUGGAUGGGCCCGCGUUGGAUUAGCUAGUUGGUAGGGUAAAAGCCUACCAAGGCGACGAUCCAUAGCUGGUCUGAGAGGAUGAUCAGCCACACUGGGACUGAGACACGGCCCAGACUCCUACGGGAAGCAGCAGUGGGGAAUAUUGGACAAUGGGCGAAAGCCUGAUCCAGCAAUGCCGCGUGAGUGAUGAAGGCCUUAGGGUUGUAAAGCUCUUUUACCCGGGAUGAUAAUGACAGUACCGGGAGAAUAAGCGCCGGCUAACUCCGUG
RNAcentral lists this ribosomal RNA (433 nucleotides) under uncultured bacterium. RNAcentral's name for it is "partial 16S ribosomal RNA". It matches the Rfam family "Bacterial small subunit ribosomal RNA", at positions 29 to 507 of the family's 1533-position model. The record is from RNAcentral.